UACAGAGGGGGCAAGCGUUGUUCGGAAUUACUGGGCGUAAAGGGCGCGUAGGCGGCCUGCUAAGUCGAACGUGAAAUCCCCGGGCUCAACCCGGGAACUGCGUCCGAUACUGACAGGCUCGAAUCCGGGAGAGGGAUGUGGAAUUCCAGGUGUAGCGGUGAAAUGCGUAGAUAUCUGGAGGAACACCGGUGGCGAAAGCGGCGCGCUGGACCUCUUCUGACGCUGAGGCGCGAAAGCUAGGGGAGCAAACGGG
This 253-nucleotide ribosomal RNA is filed under the name uncultured bacterium. RNAcentral describes it as "partial 16S ribosomal RNA". It matches the Rfam family "Bacterial small subunit ribosomal RNA", at positions 524 to 776 of the family's 1533-position model. The record is from RNAcentral.